GAUGAACGCUGGCGGCGUGCCUAAUACAUGCAAGUCGAGCGAACAGACGAGGAGCUUGCUCCUCUGACGUUAGCGGCGGACGGGUGAGUAACACGUGGAUAACCUACCUAUAAGACUGGGAUAACUUCGGGAAACCGGAGCUAAUACCGGAUAAUAUAUUGAACCGCAUGGUUCAAUAGUGAAAGUCGGUUUUGCUGUCACUUAUAGAUGGAUCCGCGCCGCAUUAGCUAGUUGGUAAGGUAACGGCAUACCAAGGCAACGAUGCGUAGCCGACCUGAGAGGGAGAUCGGCCACACUGGAACUGAGACACGGUCCAGACUCCUACGGGAGGCAGCAGUAGGGAAUCUUCCGCAAUGGGCGAAAGCUUGACGGAGCAACGCCGCGUGAGUGAUGAAGGUCUUCGGAUCGUAAAACUCUGUUAUUAGGGAAGAACAAAUGUGUAAGUAACUAUGCACGUCUUGACGGUACCUAAUCAGAAAGCCACGGCUAACUACGUG
RNAcentral lists this ribosomal RNA (497 nucleotides) under uncultured bacterium. RNAcentral describes it as "partial 16S ribosomal RNA". It matches the Rfam family "Bacterial small subunit ribosomal RNA", at positions 28 to 507 of the family's 1533-position model. The record is from RNAcentral.